UAAUGUAUCGGAACGUGCCCAGUCGUGGGGGAUAACUGCUCGAAAGAGCAGCUAAUACCGCAUACGACCUGAGGGUGAAAGCGGGGGAUCGCAAGACCUCGCGCGAUUGGAGCGGCCGAUAUCAGAUUAGGUAGUUGGUGAGGUAAAGGCUCACCAAGCCGACGAUCUGUAGCUGGUCUGAGAGGACGACCAGCCACACUGGGACUGAGACACGGCCCAG
This 220-nucleotide ribosomal RNA is filed under the name uncultured bacterium. RNAcentral describes it as "partial 16S ribosomal RNA". It matches the Rfam family "Bacterial small subunit ribosomal RNA", at positions 111 to 334 of the family's 1533-position model. The record is from RNAcentral.